AGAGUUUGAUCCUGGCUCAGAACGAACGCUGGCGGCGUGCCUAAUACAUGCAAGACGUGCGGGAAAGCGUCCUUCGGGAUGCAAGUAGAGCGGCGAACGGGUGAGUAACACGUAAGUAACCUACCUCUAAAUUUGGAAUAACCCCGAGAAAUCGAGGCUAAUACCGGAUGUGGUUAAAUUGUCACAUGGCGAAUUAAUUAAAGGUGACCUCUACAUGUAAGUUACCGUUUAGAGAUGGACUUGCGCACCAUUAGCUUGUUGGCGGGGUAACGGCCCACCAAGGCUGUUAUGGUUAGCCGGCCUGAGAGGGUGUACGGCCACAUUGGGACUGAGAUACGGCCCAGACUCCUACGGGAGGCAGCAGUAGGGAAUUUUGCGCAAUGGACGAAAGUCUGACGCAGCAACGCCGCGUGAGUGAUGAAGGUCUUCGGGUUGUAAAGCUCUGUUGAGUGGGACGAAACUUUUGGUGGAUAAUACCCGCCAGAACUGACGGUACCAUUCGAGGAAGCACCGGCUAACUACGUGCCAGCAGCCGCGGAAAUACGUAGGGUGCAAGCGUUGUUCGGAAUUACUGGGCGUAAAGGGAGUGUAGGUGGAAAGGUAAGUUAAAAGUUUAAUUUACGGGCUUAACCCGUAAUCUGCUUCUAAUACUGCUUUUCUUGAGUAUGGGAGAGGGCGAUGGAAUUCCAGGUGUAGCGGUGGAAUGCGUAGAUAUCUGGAAGAACACCAGUUGCGAAGGCGGUCGCCUGGCCCAAUACUGACACUGAGGCUCGAAAGCUAGGGGAGCAAACAGGAUUAGAUACCCUGGUAGUCCUAGCCUUAAACGAUGGAUACUAGAUGCUGGAAGGGUUAUUCUUUUCAGUGUCGGAGCUAACGUAUUAAGUAUCCCGCCUGGGAAGUACGCUCGCAAGGGUGAAACUCAAAGGAAUUGACGGGGGCCCGCACAAGCGGUGGAGCAUGUGCUUUAAUUCGAUGCAACGCGAAGAACCUUACCUGGGUUUGACAUGGGAAUGAAAGCCUUUAGAGAUAGAGGACCUUCCUUCGGGAACAUUCCACACAGGUGCUGCAUGGUUGUCGUCAGCUCGUGUCGUGAGAUGUUGGGUUAAGUCCCGCAACGAGCGCAACCCUUGCCCUUAGUUGCCAUCAGGUCAAGCUGGGAACUCUAAGGGGACCGCCUAGUUUAACUAGGAGGAAGGUGGGGAUGACGUCAAAUCAUCAUGGCCCUUACGUCCAGGGCUAGACACGUGCUACAAUGGUCGGCACAAAGGGUCGCGACGCUGCAAAGUGAAGCUAAUCCCAAAAAAACCGGCCUCAGUUCGGAUUGGAGUCUGCAAUUCGACUUCAUGAAGCUGGAAUCGCUAGUAAUCGUGGAUCAGCAUGCCACGGUGAAUACGUUCCCGGGCCUUGUACACACCGCCCGUCAAGCCACGAAAGAUGGGAGUACCCAACGUCGUUUACCCAACCGUAAGGAGGGAGACGCCUAAGGUAAGACCAUUGAUUGGGGC
Molecule: ribosomal RNA, 1505 nt
Filed under: metagenome
Description: bacterial SSU rRNA
Rfam family: Bacterial small subunit ribosomal RNA
Source: RNAcentral